Molecule: ribosomal RNA, 429 nt
Filed under: uncultured bacterium
Lineage: Bacteria
Description: bacterial SSU rRNA
Rfam family: Bacterial small subunit ribosomal RNA
Source: RNAcentral
UGGGGACUAUUGCACAAUGGGCGCAAGCCUGAUGCAGCCAUGCCGCGUGUAUGAAGAAGGCCUUCGGGUUGUAAAGUACUUUCAGCGGGGAGGAAGGGAGUGAGGUUAAUAACCUUAUUCAUUGACGUUACCCGCAGAAGAAGCACCGGCUAACUCCGUGCCAGCAGCCGCGGUAAUACGGAGGGUGCAAGCGUUAAUCGGAAUUACUGGGCGUAAAGCGCACGCAGGCGGUCUGUCAAGUCGGAUGUGAAAUCCCCGGGCUCAACCUGGGAACUGCAUUCGAAACUGGCAGGCUGGAGUCUUGUAGAGGGGGGUAGAAUUCCAGGUGUAGCGGUGAAAUGCGUAGAGAUCUGGAGGAAUACCGGUGGCGAAGGCGGCCCCCUGGACAAAGACUGACGCUCAGGUGCGAAAGCGUGGGGAGCAAACAGG